RNAcentral lists this long non-coding RNA (795 nucleotides) under Rattus norvegicus (Norway rat). Its description in RNAcentral is "long non-coding RNA NONRATT014168". The record is from RNAcentral. Lineage: Eukaryota; Metazoa; Chordata; Mammalia; Rodentia; Muridae.
ACAGUUGUAGCCCAGGGUAGUCUUGAACUUGUAAUUCUCUCUCAUCAGCUUCAGAGUUUAUGUGGGCCUUCACGCCCAGAUGCGUGUGAGCCUUCACGCCCAGAUGCAUGUGGGCCUUCACGCCCAGAUGCGUGUGAGCCUUCACGCCCAGAUGCGUGUGGGCCUUCACGCCCAGAUGCGUGUGUCUUGGUUAGGGUUUCUAUUGCUGGGAAGAGACCAUGACCAUGGCAACUCCGUAAAGAAAAACGUUCAAUUGGGCUGGCUUAUGUUCAGUGGUUUAGUCCAUUAUCAUCAUGGUGGGAAGCAUGGCAGCGCCCAGGCAGGCCUGGUGCCUGUGGAGGAAAUGAUCAUUGUGCUUCUGAAUGGGCAGGCAGCAGAAGUGAAUGUCUGAGCCAGAGGCAGACUUGAGCUUUGAGAUUUCAAAGCGACCUCAAAGUGACACACCUAUUCCAACAAGGCCGCAUCUCCUAACGGCGCCACUCCCUGUGGGCCAAUGGGGGGGCCAUUUUCUUUCAGACCCUCACAGUCUGUGUUUGUGUCUGUGGAGGAUUGCCUGCAUGAGUAAGGGGUUGUUUACUUGAGCAAGGGGCACUUACAUUGACUAGCUAGCUGCACCACUGAGAAAUAGGACUGCCUCCCUCUCAGCCAUGAGCUGCCAGGCUCUCCUCAGGCUGAGUGUUAGUUUAACUAAACUAACUUCAAAGCCCAGGAGUUCAAGACCAUUUUUGGACAAUGUAGUGACCUUCCCCAUCCCCCAGGGGAAAGAAGGGGAUUGGGAGAGGAGGAAGGGUGUCU